GGAGGCAUUGCUGGGAGGUGUGUAAAAGCGUUUGUGCGUGCAUGUGUGCGCCUGUGGGGUGUCUACUUGUGGGGGAGAGGUGGAGCAAGAGUCCCACCUGUUGUCAGAGCAUGUUUUAGUUUCUUUGUUGUGGUGUGAUCGCGUCCCCUCAUGGCUCUAGUGUGGAAUUGCAGGUGGUGUUGAAACUUUAAAAUUAGGUUGAUUUCGUAACCUGUCUCAACACACUUUUAGGUAAAUCUCCCUUUUCAAGGCAUCCCUCUCUUGUGAUUAAGCGGUGCACGGACUGUAUUAAUUUGAAAUAUGUUUUGGCUAAUGUUCUCUUUAGUGUGGGGUUUGUGCUGUGAACUGUGUGCAUUUUAAGACUGCUUGCUGCCAUCAUGUCCCUUUGUUGCACUCAAACAUCAAAUCUAUUCUGCAAACUUACCAUUUUUCACCUUUUUUUUUUUUCCUUUUUCUUUUUUAAAUAGUAUUAAUAAAUAUCAGUAAGUAGCACAAUGUUGGGCUCAACUAUUCGGAGUGGUAGAGAACAACAUACACAAUCACAUCAACACUGAAAGACAAUACAGAAAGUUGCCCGGUAUAGAUGAAGCCCAGUCUUACCUCCCUGUCUCUGUUGCAGCACCUGGACCAGGUCUUUGUCGUCCGCGAGAGCCCAGAGCCGGCCCUCAGCAGGUGCGCGUCACUUUCUUCACCGGCAGCGAUUGUAAUCCCUGUUUGUCUAGGGCCGCCUUCUCUGCCUCCUUCAACGUGUGGACCCGUGCCGGUCCGUGCGAUGCUGGUGACGGAUGCGUUGCUGGGAGCACCUGGACCAGGUCUUUGUCGUCCGCGAGAGCCCAGAGCCGGCCCUCAGCAGGUGCGCGUCACUUUCUUCACCGGCAGCGAUUGUAAUCCCUGUUUGUCUAGGGCCGCCUUCUCUGCCUCCUUCAACGUGUGGACCCGUGCCGGUCCGUGCGAUGCUGGUGACGGAUGCGUUGCUGGGAGGUAUGUAAAAAGCCUUACGUAUGCGUGUGUUUGCCUAUAGGGUGUCUAGUUGUGGGGGAGAGGUGGAGCAAGAGUCCCACCUGUUGUCAUGUUAUAGUUGCUUUGUUGUGGUGUGAUGGCAUCCCAUCGUGGCUUCAUUGUGGAAUUGCAGGUAGGCUUAAAAUUUUAAAAUUGGGUACAUUGUACACUGCCUAAAUGCGUG
This 1183-nucleotide long non-coding RNA is filed under the name Scleropages formosus (Asian bonytongue). Its description in RNAcentral is "lncRNA (ENSSFOG00015033282.1)". The record is from RNAcentral. Lineage: Eukaryota; Metazoa; Chordata; Actinopteri; Osteoglossiformes; Osteoglossidae.